GUAACCUGCCCUUGACUCUGGGAUAAGCCCGGGAAACUGGGUCUAAUACUGGAUGCUACAUGUCACCGCAUGGUGGUGUGUGGAAAGGGUUUACUGGUCUUGGAUGGGCUCACGGCCUAUCAGCUUGUUGGUGAGGUAAUGGCUCACCAAGGCGACGACGGGUAGCCGGCCUGAGAGGGUGACCGGCCACACUGGGACUGAGACACGGCCCAGACUCCUACGGGAGGCAGCAGUGGGGAAUAUUGCACAAUGGGCGAAAGCCUGAUGCAGCGACGCCGCGUGAGGGAUGACGGCCUUCGGGUUGUAAACCUCUUUCAGCAGGGAAGAAGCCACAAGUGACGGUACCUGCAGAAGAAGCGCCGGCUAACUACGUGCCAGCAGCCGCGGUAAUACGUAGGGCGCAAGCGUUGUCCGGAAUUAUUGGGCGUAAAGAGCUCGUAGGCGGUUUGUCGCGUCUGCUGUGAAAGCCCGGGGCUUAACCCCGGGUGUGCAGUGGGUACGGGCAGACUAGAGUGCAGUAGGGGAGACUGGAAUUCCUGGUGUAGCGGUGGAAUGCGCAGAUAUCAGGAGGAACACCGAUGGCGAAGGCAGGUCUCUGGGCUGUUACUGACGCUGAGGAGCGAAAGCAUGGGGAGCGAACAGGAUUAGAUACCCUGGUAGUCCAUGCCGUAAACGUUGGGCACUAGGUGUGGGGGACAUUCCACGUUUUCCGCGCCGUAGCUAACGCAUUAAGUGCCCCGCCUGGGGAGUACGGCCGCAAGGCUAAAACUCAAAGGAAUUGACGGGGGCCCGCACAAGCGGCGGAGCAUGCGGAUUAAUUCGAUGCAACGCGAAGAACCUUACCAAGGCUUGACAUAUACCGGAUCGUUCCAGAGAUGGUUCUUCCCCUUUGGGGUCGGUAUACAGGUGGUGCAUGGUUGUCGUCA
Molecule: ribosomal RNA, 926 nt
Filed under: Kocuria palustris
Lineage: Bacteria; Bacillati; Actinomycetota; Actinomycetes; Micrococcales; Micrococcaceae
Description: bacterial SSU rRNA
Rfam family: Bacterial small subunit ribosomal RNA
Source: RNAcentral